AGUUUUACCGGAAACAAAGUAAUGAAAAGAGAUGCGGUGGGGUGUGGCGGGGCCUGCCCCCUGCCGGAAGAAGUUUGGGUGCAGCCCAGUAUUCAAGCUCCAGGACAAAGGGGGCGGGGAGGCCGCCACUAGCAAACAACCUCAGCUUCAUAAAUCCAGCAGAAAGGUCCGGGGUAUUGUUGAAAAGGUCGGAAGGACCAAGAUUAUGUCCGCCAGCCUAAGUGGGACGAACAACCAAGUUGUGCGAUGCAGCUUUAAAGGGGCUGGUGAUUGACAGAAUGGUGUAGUAGUAGAUGGGGUGGAGCCGCUGGGUGGGGUCGAGACUGGCAGCUGAGAGAUACCAAAAGGAAGAAAAAAGAAAACCAUUGCUCUUGAUAUUGCUAAUGCCGGGGGAGGUAAGCUAACGAGAAAGUAGGGAAAAGGAAGGUUUUAGAGUUCACCUCCACUCCUUCCCCUGGCUAACACUCUUUACACUCUUCUGCCUUCCCUUGAGAUAAUUAAAAUAGACUGUACACCGGCCCUAGUCGGUGCCCAUUCCCCCUAACUCUUCACUCAACUACGUGUGUAGUCCGAGGGAGUGAGGACCCCGGGUCCAAGAGCUCAAUCCCGGCCCCGCCCCGUCGGCCCAGGCCCCGGGGCUGGGAGGAGAGGAUGCCUUCGGAGGCGCAGAAUCCGAAAAGAUGUGGUUGGAGCUGGAAGCUGUUAUCCUCAGCAAACUAAUGCAGGAGGAGAAAACCAAAUACUGCAAGUUCUCACUUAUAAGUGGGAACUGAAUGAUGAGAACAUUUGGACAUGGUAAGGGGAGGACAACAUGCAGUGGGGCCUGUUGGGGAGUAUGGCAGGAGGGAAAGCAUCAGGAAAUUCACUAAUAGAUGCUGGGCUUAAUAACUUGAUGAUGGGAUGAUCUGUGCAGCAAACCACCAUGGCACAUGUUUACUAAUGUAACAAACCUGCACAUUCAGCACAUGUACCCCUGAACUUAAAAUAAAGCAAAAUAAAAAUAAAAA
Molecule: long non-coding RNA, 1007 nt
Filed under: Homo sapiens (human)
Lineage: Eukaryota; Metazoa; Chordata; Mammalia; Primates; Hominidae
Description: non-protein coding lnc-KLF8-4:1
Source: RNAcentral